UACGGGAGGCAGCAGUGGGGAAUAUUGCACAAUGGGCGAAAGCCUGAUGCAGCUAUGCCGCGUGUAUGAAGAAGGCCUUAGGGUUGUAAAGUACUUUCAUCGGGGAGGAAAAACAAAACUAAUAAUUUUAUUUCUUGACGUUACCCGAAAAAGAAGCACCGGCUAACUCCGUGCCAGCAGCCGCGGUAAUACGGAGGGUGCUAGCGUUAAUCAGAAUUACUGGGCGUAAAGAGCACGUAGGUGGUUUUUUUAAGUCAGAUGUGAAAUCCCUGGGCUUAACCUAGGAACUGCAUUUUGAAACUGAAAUACUAGAGUAUCGUAGAGGGAGGUAGAAUUCUAGGUGUAGCGGUGAAAUGCGUAGAUAUCUGGAGGAAUACCUGUGGCGAAAGCGGCCUCCUAAACGAAUACUGACACUGAGUGCGAAAGCGUGGGGAGCAAACGAGGGAUUAGAUACCCGU
This 458-nucleotide ribosomal RNA is filed under the name uncultured bacterium. RNAcentral describes it as "bacterial SSU rRNA". It matches the Rfam family "Bacterial small subunit ribosomal RNA", at positions 340 to 789 of the family's 1533-position model. The record is from RNAcentral.